Molecule: ribosomal RNA, 730 nt
Filed under: uncultured bacterium
Lineage: Bacteria
Also listed under: 1 other name
Description: SSU rRNA
Rfam family: Bacterial small subunit ribosomal RNA
Source: RNAcentral
AGAGGGAAUUUCUAGUGUAGCGGUGAAAUGCGUAGAUAUUAGAAAGAACACCGGUGGCGAAAGCGCUCUACUGGACCAUUACUGACACUCAGAGGCGAAAGCUAGGGUAGCAAAAGGGAUUAGAUACCCCUGUAGUCCUAGCCGUAAACGAUGGAUACUACAUGUUGUGCAUUAUGUACAGUAUGGUAGCUAACGCGUUAAGUAUCCCGCCUGGGGAGUACGCUCGCAAGGGUGAAACUCAAAGGAAUUGACGGGGGCCCGCACAAGCGGUGGAGCAUGUGGUUUAAUUCGAUGCAACGCGAAGAACCUUACCAGGACUUGACAUACUACAAAUUCUUUUGAGAAAAAGAAGUGCCUUCGGGAAUGUAGAUACAGGUGGUGCAUGGCUGUCGUCAGCUCGUGUCGUGAGAUGUUGGGUUAAGUCCCGCAACGAGCGCAACCCUUAUUUUUAGUUACCAAUUCGUUGGGUUCUCUAGAAAGACUGCCGGUGACAAACCGGAGGAAGGUGAGGAUGACGUCAAGUCAGCAUGCCCCUUAUGUCCUGGGCUACACACGUGCUACAAUGGUUAAGACAAAGAGUCGCGAGCUCGUGAGAGUCAGCUAAUCUCAUAAACUUAGCCCAAGUUCAGAUUGUAGGCUGCAACUCGCCUACAUGAAGUUGGAAUCGCUAGUAAUCGCUGGUCAGCCAUACAGCGGUGAAUCCGUUCCCGCGCUUUGCACACACCGCCCG